CUCCCGAAAAGGCAACCUUCGGGCUAACUGAAGCGCGCAAAGCUACGGGUCCAAAUGUGGAUGGACCGCCGAGCUACCGAA
RNAcentral lists this non-coding RNA (81 nucleotides) under Marinobacterium lacunae. Its description in RNAcentral is "Marinobacterium sp. AK27 c-di-GMP-I riboswitch aptamer". It matches the Rfam family "c-di-GMP-I riboswitch aptamer". From Rfam's summary of the family: GEMM was predicted in a large-scale screen for bacterial structured RNA regulatory elements. Genes associated with GEMM are involved in a diverse array of functions, including chemotaxis regulation, signal transduction, secretion and chitin. RNAcentral also lists the same sequence under 1 other name. Lineage: Bacteria; Pseudomonadati; Pseudomonadota; Gammaproteobacteria; Oceanospirillales; Oceanospirillaceae. The record is from Rfam by way of RNAcentral.